Long non-coding RNA from Chroicocephalus ridibundus (black-headed gull), 534 nucleotides. RefSeq lists it as uncharacterized. The transcript has 4 exons. NCBI's taxonomy places the organism in Eukaryota, Metazoa, Chordata, Aves, Charadriiformes, Laridae. The record is from RefSeq and is a predicted model, not a curated record.
UGUCCACUGGAGACAAGAGUGCUUGAAAAUAGAAACCUGAAGAGAAAAAUGCGAGCUGAUGUAGUUUCUGUAGGAGCUUAAGGAGGUCACUGUCAAGUAUACCCCAGAUAUUUGUGAGGUCUGGGCUGAAACUGCAGAGCUGGAACGGAGGAUCCUUUCUGCAUGCUGCAGCGUCCCUAAGCACACUCUGGGCAGCCAAGAAGGAGACCUGGCCAUUCCCUGAGACAUCUCUGCAGGGGCUGAUAAGCAGUACUCCAGGCACGCAGGAGACACGGACCCUGGCUCCGGCUCUUCAUUUUGGGGGAGCCAAGACCAGCAGAGCAGCUGUUAUAGGGUCACCAUUAAUACAUUACUCAAGAGAUUUAAUUGCCUGACACCAAGAAAACCUGUCUGUCAUGCUGUGCAGGUGUAUAUCUGGAAUGACUAGAUUGCUGAGGAGAUUUUCAGCAGAUGGAGACAGUGCAAGUCUUCCCCGAGGGGAGUCAGAUGAAUAUUCUUCCUCAGCACAGUCACCUGCUGCAAAACCUCAAGAGG